UACAGAGGGUGCGAGCGUUAAUCGGAUUUACUGGGCGUAAAGGGCGCGUAGGCGGUUAUGUGAGUGUGAUGUGAAAGCCCCGGGCUUAACCUGGGAAGUGCAUCGCAAACGACAUAACUGGAGUAUAAGAGAGGGUGGCGGAAUUUCCGGUGCAGCGGUGAAAUGCGUAGAGAUCGGAAGGAACGUCAAUGGCGAAGGCAGCCAUCUGGCUUAAUACUGACGCUGAGGCGCGAAAGCGUGGGGAUCAAACAGG
This 253-nucleotide ribosomal RNA is filed under the name uncultured bacterium. RNAcentral describes it as "partial 16S ribosomal RNA". It matches the Rfam family "Bacterial small subunit ribosomal RNA", at positions 524 to 776 of the family's 1533-position model. The record is from RNAcentral.